CGGGGCCCCGCAGCCCCAGCGCGGGAAAGGAGAGGGGGAGCCUCGCUGGUGCGGCUUUGUGCCCUCGUGGGAGAGGAGAGGGGAAGCCUCGGAGCACACAGAGCUACAGCAGGAAAAUCUGUUGUGGUGGUGACGAGUGGUUCCCUAUCUUGUAGUAUGGGAGAAGACAGAGUAUUUCCUGAUUCUGGAAUUGACAGACUCCACCGACUUGCAUCUACCACUGACCAUACCCCUGAGCAGUGAUUUCAGACCACAAGAGAAUAAGGCAGCUUCGCAAUAAAGGGAAGGCAAGUUUUGCCAGAGACAUCAUCUUCAGAAGUAAGAUGGAAAAGAGUUGAUUGAUUCAUGACAACAUUUUUUAGGGUCUACCGGGAAGAAGAAUUGCUUGAAUGAUUGAUCAGCAUUUUUUCAUCUGUCACUUGAGGUAUCUUUAAUGAAAAGUACCUUAUCAAGCCAUGAAUUCACUGAUA
Molecule: long non-coding RNA, 470 nt
Organism: Lepidothrix coronata (blue-crowned manakin)
Lineage: Eukaryota; Metazoa; Chordata; Aves; Passeriformes; Pipridae
Exons: 3
Source: RefSeq, a predicted model, not a curated record